RNAcentral lists this ribosomal RNA (428 nucleotides) under uncultured bacterium. Its description in RNAcentral is "bacterial SSU rRNA". It matches the Rfam family "Bacterial small subunit ribosomal RNA", at positions 917 to 1344 of the family's 1533-position model. The record is from RNAcentral.
GGGCCCGCACAAGUGGUGGAGCAUGUGGUUUAAUUCGAUGCAACGCGAAGAACCUUACCAACCCUUGAAAUCUAGCGAAGUUCACAGAGAUGAGAAUGUGCCUUCGGGAACGCUAUGACAGGUGUUGCAUGGCUGUCGUCAGCUCGUGUCGUGAGAUGUAUGGUUAAGUCCAGUAACGAGCGCAACCCCUAUCCUUAUUUGCCAGCGCGUUAAGGCGGGAACUAUAGGGAGACUGCCGGGUGAAACCCGGAGGAAGGCGGGGACGAGGUCAAGUCAUCAUGGCCCUUAUGGGUUGGGCUACACACGUGCUACAAUGGGAAGUACAGAGGGAUGCGAAAGCGCGAGCUGGAGCCAAACCCUUAAAACUUUUCUUAGUCCGGAUUGGAGUCUGCAACUCGACUCCAUGAAGUCGGAAUCACUAGUAAUCG